This 952-nucleotide long non-coding RNA is filed under the name Homo sapiens (human). RNAcentral describes it as "non-protein coding FLG-AS1:24". The record is from RNAcentral. Lineage: Eukaryota; Metazoa; Chordata; Mammalia; Primates; Hominidae.
ACUUCCGGGGCCCGCGUCCCCCGGCGGCUUCGCCGAGAAGGGGCUUUGGGAGCUUAAGGGCGCCGGCACGCGUUCCCCUGGCGCAGAGCUCGCUAGCCGGGGCGCGGGCUGCCUCCUUGUUCUGGUGUGAUCCGAAUGUAACGGAGCGGACUUUGGGAUCCAGAACCCCGGACUGAGGUUGUGCUUGGCUUGAGGGGCGGGCUGGAUUUUUCCUCUUAGGAUUUAUUUCCCUGGAGACCUCAUGAAGAAUGAUGUGGGUUCUAUAGGGUACAGUGUGAUCUGGGUCCUGCCUAAUCUCCUUUCUAAACUUCAGAAAAUCAUGUACCUUGGAGUUGUGGAGGCAUGUUUAUAAGCAGAUCUGAGUUUUGCCACACUGGAAUUUAUUUAUUCAUUGAACAAAUAUUUAAUACCUACUACAAUUCUUAGCCGAUAUAUCAGCACAACUUCUCUGCUCCAACUAGUCUACAUUGCAAAGCAUCUCCUAGUGUCUUUGGAAGAAGGAUCUAUGGUGUUAUAUGUGAACAAAGAUGUAGACUAGUAAGGUAUCAAGAUUUGAUGGGGAUAUCCAGACAACUUGGAGCCAAGUCCCCACAGCUGGAUCAGACAACUUUUGGUGACAUCUCACAGUGUGGAUUAUCAAGCCAGUGUAUCAGUCUGGAGCCUAGGUUUUUUGCCUUUAGCUUUGCUCAGGAUGACUUCUGCUCUUCUAUGGCAAUACUUGAGAAGCUACAGCUUUGAUUAGACGAGAGGCUAUUUCAAUAACUUUCUCCUGAUAAGAAGACCACCGACCGUGGACGGAUUCUGGCCAGUUUACAAAGGCUGCAUACCAUAGGGCAGGGCACCCCACUAUGGCAAACACUAAUAAUGAUAUUGCUCCUGAUUUUGUUUCUGAAGGGAAUGCCUCUAAGAUUUCUUCAUUAAUUAUAAGAGACUGGGUCUCACUCUGUUGCCC